GGCUAUGGCCAUACCAGCCUGAACAUGCCCAAUCUCGUCUGAUCUCAGAAGCUAAGCUGGGUGGGGCCUGGUUAGUACUUGGAUGGGAGAAGAAUGGGCUCCAGUACCACUCAGGAUAAUACAAGAGGUGCUAGUUC
This 137-nucleotide ribosomal RNA is filed under the name Prolemur simus (greater bamboo lemur). Lineage: Eukaryota; Metazoa; Chordata; Mammalia; Primates; Lemuridae. The record is from RNAcentral.